UUGAAACUUAUGGUGGCCAAAGUUAACCAUAGGUCACUAUUUGAUAUAUGUCUUUAAGGUUUUCAUAUCUUUGACACUUUAUACUUUUUCUGCCUUCUAGGCAAUCACUUCUACACAGAUGUGCAUUGAUUCUUCACUUUUGUUGAUGUUGAUAUGGUACAUUGCCUUUUUUAUGUUAUGUUUCUUUACUCAAUAUGACUUGAGGCUAUUUAUUGUAUUCGUUAGCCUAAUUUGUGCAACACUCACCCGGGAAGUUCCGUGCUUCUGUAGCAUGAACAAGAGCACCAGGAUAACUGCAGAGAGAGCCUCCACAAUGGCUGCGAGAUCGAAAGGCUUCCGAUGAGAAUGAUGCCAAGAUGUUGGGUUCUUGAGAGGAACCAGCCUGCCUGACGAGACCACUUACAUUUACUGACCGAAUGAAGAGGGCCUCUUAAGCCAUCCAUUGCCGACAGCCUCAAGGGUACAGUUAAUUAUGUUAGAUCAGAGUUCCCAAUUUCAUGGAAGAUCUGGUUUUCCUUCGGCUAUUGUCUGUGAUAUGUUUAUCUUGAAAUAUGAUCUAUAAUUCAAUUGUGGUUUUUUCUUUUUCAUUCCUUUUUUUUUGCUUUUUGUGUUUGCAAUUGUUGACUGUGAGUUCAAGGCUGGCUUUGAGUUGAACUAUAUCUAUGAUAUCAUUUCUUAGUGCCAAAUAUCUAUGGAUGGAGUACAUUUUUCAUAUCUGUUGGUGAGGAGUCAAUGUAUCUGUGCUGGGUGGAAAUGAUAAAAAGCAUGACGCACGAUUUGAAACUCUAAAGGCUCUUGACUACGAUCUUUUGUGGAGUUUCAUGUUUUUUCGUUGCUUCCAUUGAUGCUUUCAGACUGGAGAGAUCAGUGGAGACAUCAACUUAUAGGAAUUUGAUUAAGAAGUUUAUAUUUGAGGACCCGGAGUAAUUCAUAAGUCAAGUUUUAAAUGAAAGAAACUGGAUCGAUUUUCCUUCGGUUAUCUCUUCUGCCGUUGUUAUUUCAUUGUAUUCAAGCUCAAUCGGGUUUUAUUUUUGUUUUGUGAAGGUUCUUAUUUAGAGGGUUGUACACACUCACUUUUUACAGUUUUCAUUGAGAUGAACCUGGUCAAAAACUAACCCACUGAAAAGAGAACCCUGAGAAUCUUGUUAUCCCCUUUCUUAAUAUAGGCUAAUUUUCUCCUAUUUAUACAUAGACCUCCUCAUUGUCUAGUUCCUAGUGCUGGACUUGGUAGGCUUGCACUGGGGGUUUCUUGUCUAAGUGAAAACAAUAUUCAGUUACUCCUAACCGCUUCUAGUUCCUUUUUCCCCCUUUUGUCAUAUCAUUUGACUCUCCACUGUGUCUUAUAGGAUAUCUUUGUCAAGGAAAUGCUUUUUCUUAUUAUAUGGUGAUCUCCUCAAAGUUUCUUUGACCAGGUUGAUCCUUUUUGACAUAUUGAGCCUUGAUUUGGAUAAAGAUGAGGUACGGCUGGUGGGGACGUAGAUACAAGCCUUAUCAGAAGGAAAUAACAUUUGAUAAAAAAUUAGAUCAGAGUUCCAGGACAUGAUUAACAAUGAUUAUACCCUGAGAAUGUGAAUGAAGAACUGUAGCCGACGAUCUUAGAGAAAAACAGCUCGCUAACUAUGCUCCUCUCAAAGUAUGUAGAGUUCCCACACGGCCUAGAGGAUACUAGGAUUCUAACAAGGACUAGCUAGCUCUCAACUUCAAGCUUUUCAUACCCAAUUUCUCCUUAGAGGACCUUGGAGUUUAAUUUAUUUCAAAAGAUUGUUUCUUCUCAGAUCAAGUUGAGCGUACUAUUUAUGGCCUCAACAUGAGGCUUUUAAAGGAGUGUUCUUAGAUCUGGCCUAGAAAUCCCAGCAUCUCCCUUAAUUAAUGGGCUGGAAUUUCCACCUUAAAUGUUCCUAAAAGUAGUGAAAGUGGUUGGGGUUUCUUAAAGUAUCUUAAAAUUUUUAAUAGCCCUAAAUAUCUCUAGAAACGGUCAAAAAAUUGUCAAAGAUAGCUUGGACUUAUGAUAUAUGAAAAUCAGAAAAAGAGAUACUUAUUGUCACCCAAUCCUGUGUGUUGACUCCAGCUAGUGCAUGGUCGACUCUAUUGUCCUCAUCAAAUUCUUGUGGUAAUUUAUCAUUCUUUUUGGCUUUCAGUUGGCUAAAGAGUGAGCUUGGGAUUUUUCUUUUUAGAAUCACUAUUUAUUGGGUAAGAAGUUUGAUGAAAUGACAUGAUUCCACCCACUCCCCCUCUUGCUAUUUCUUCGGUAAAACAUGGAAUGCCUUUGUAACCUUACAAAUUGUUCGAUUUGCAUAAAUUUUAUUCGAAUGAUUUUCUUAGGUUCUCUAUUGAUGAAUUACACAACUUGUCAGUUCUAUUACAUUUGAUUUCUAGAUGUGUUACUUGCUCAAUUUCUUAGAAGCGGGGAUUAAUACUAUAACUGUUGCUAUAAAAAACAUCUAAAUCUGUAACUUUCUCUUUCUUAUAAAGCACAUGAAUGCCUAAGAUAAUCAAAGCAGAGAUUAAAAGCAUUAGGGCUUUCAGGGAGAUGGUUCAUGCUGAGGAUACUCAAUGUCGUUCAGAAGUAUGGCAUUGUGACUCUUGGAAACUCCGAUUGCAUCACAUAGGUACUUUGCUGAGGAUCAAAGGAAAUUCAUGGACAGAACAUAGAAUGAUAAACGAAGUGAGAUCUAGAGAUUUUUUUUUAUUGGGAGAGCUUUUUCUCAGUGGAGAAGUAAUUAAAGUCGUAGUAGAGUCAUUUUAUGUUAAGUCAUAGCAUGGUAAUAUCAGCAUGUUUAGAGCGUGUGAGACUUAUGAAUUUGUUCGAACACAUUUGGUUACAUCUUUAUGUAAGUUUUUCAUUUCUAGAUUAUUGGGUGAUCUGUCAGGGAUCAAGUUGUUUUUGUAUAUAGUAUUGUGUUCAGCUUUCUUUUGAUCAUGAUAUAACAUCUUUCUGAUCUUCUUGCAGCAACUUGGGAAGCUGUUGUGGCUUGUUUCUUCAUCGACACUGCCAUAAUGUUGAUGAAGAAACAAAAGUUCUGAAACCUGAAGGGGUAGAUUUUGCUCAUGGCUUCUUGCAAUGUUACUACAGUUAUGUGUUCACACAACUCAGAGUCAUUUGACACUUAGUUUUUUGUAGAUAGUGCAUGGUAAUGGACCCGGAACUCACAUCUAGGGACCAAAAAAACUUAUGAUUUCCAAUUAUCUAAUCAUAUCUGUUGAUGAUCAAGUUUGAGGAAAUUCGGAGAUCAAGGGCGGCAUGGUCGUGCACUGCACAUUCCUUUCUGCUCAUUCUGUGUGAUCGGUUUUCCUGUUUCUAUUGAUCAACAGAUUUGGAUCAACUUUGGGCCCCUUCCCUAUCAUUUUGCAGAUUCAUAUGGGCCUGGC
This 3369-nucleotide long non-coding RNA is filed under the name Spirodela polyrhiza (greater duckweed). Its description in RNAcentral is "long non-coding RNA (SPOL_LNC001745)". The record is from RNAcentral. Lineage: Eukaryota; Viridiplantae; Streptophyta; Magnoliopsida; Alismatales; Araceae.